GUUUGGAUGUAAACUGUUAAAUUGGCAGUGCAUCAUUCAAAGUAUGCACAUCAGCGUGCUCAUAUCUGCCAUAGACUCUUUUUUUGUGCAAAAUGACAUGUCAAAAACUUUAUUUUUCGUUUUUAAAAUCACGUUUUUCUAAAACCGGAUGUUGACUUGACAAUGGUAAAACAUGGACCAUAAACUGAUACGUAAAAUCCGUGAACGUUUCAAAGCAUGACUGAGUGAAGAAGC
This 234-nucleotide long non-coding RNA is filed under the name Mytilus galloprovincialis (Mediterranean mussel). The record is from RNAcentral. Lineage: Eukaryota; Metazoa; Mollusca; Bivalvia; Mytilida; Mytilidae.